CCCAGACUCCUACGGGAGGCAGCAGUGGGGGAUAUUGCACAAUGGGGGGAACCCUGAUGCAGCGACGCCGCGUGGGUGAAGGAGCGUUUCGGCGCGUAAAGCCCUAUCGGCAGGGAAGAAGGAGGACGGUACCUGACUAAGAAGCCCCGGCUAACUACGUGCCAGCAGCCGCGGUAAUACGUAGGGGGCAAGCGUUAUCCGGAUUUACUGGGUGUAAAGGGGGCGCAGACGGCAGCGCAAGCCAGGAGUGAAAGCCCGGGGCCCAACCCCGGGACUGCUCUUGGAACUGCGCGGCUGGAGUGCAGGAGGGGCAGGCGGAAUUCCUGGUGUAGCGGUGAAAUGCGUAGAUAUCAGGAGGAACACCGGUGGCGAAGGCGGCCUGCUGGACUGCGACUGACGUUGAGGCCCGAAAGCGUGGGGAGCAAACAGGAUUAGAUACCCUCGUACU
Molecule: ribosomal RNA, 448 nt
Filed under: uncultured bacterium
Lineage: Bacteria
Description: bacterial SSU rRNA
Rfam family: Bacterial small subunit ribosomal RNA
Source: RNAcentral